UACGUAGGGGGCAAGCGUUGUCCGGAUUUAUUGGGCGUAAAGCGCGCGCAGGCGGCUAUCCAAGUCAGUGGUGAAAGCCCGGAGCUCAACUCCGGAACUGCCAUUGAAACUGUUUAGCUUGAGUAUGAGAGAGGUGAGUGGAAUUCCCAGUGUAGAGGUGAAAUUCGUAGAUAUUGGGAAGAACACCGGUGGCGAAGGCGGCUCACUGGCUCAUUACUGACGCUCAGGCGCGACAGCGUGGGGAUCAAACAGG
RNAcentral lists this ribosomal RNA (253 nucleotides) under uncultured bacterium. RNAcentral's name for it is "partial 16S ribosomal RNA". It matches the Rfam family "Bacterial small subunit ribosomal RNA", at positions 524 to 776 of the family's 1533-position model. The record is from RNAcentral.